This 497-nucleotide ribosomal RNA is filed under the name uncultured bacterium. RNAcentral's name for it is "partial 16S ribosomal RNA". It matches the Rfam family "Bacterial small subunit ribosomal RNA", at positions 28 to 507 of the family's 1533-position model. The record is from RNAcentral.
GAUGAACGCUGGCGGCGUGCCUAAUACAUGCAAGUCGAGCGAACGGACGAGAAGCUUGCUUCUCUGAUGUUAGCGGCGGACGGGUGAGUAACACGUGGAUAACCUACCUAUAAGACUGGGAUAACUUCGGGAAACCGGAGCUAAUACCGGAUGAUAUUUUGAACCGCAUGGUUCAAAAGUGAAAGACGGUCUUGCUGUCACUUAUAGAUGGAUCCGCGCUGCAUUAGCUAGUUGGUAAGGUAACGGCUUACCAAGGCAACGAUGCAUAGCCGACCUGAGAGGGUGAUCGGCCACACUGGAACUGAGACACGGUCCAGACUCCUACGGGAGGCAGCAGUAGGGAAUCUUCCGCAAUGGGCGAAAGCCUGACGGAGCAACGCCGCGUGAGUGAUGAAGGUCUUCGGAUCGUAAAACACUGUUAUUAGGGAAGAACAUAUGUGUAAGUAACUGUGCACAUCUUGACGGUACCUAAUCAGAAAGCAACGGCUAACUACGUG